RNAcentral lists this ribosomal RNA (1455 nucleotides) under Staphylococcus capitis QN1. RNAcentral describes it as "bacterial LSU rRNA". It matches the Rfam family "Bacterial large subunit ribosomal RNA", at positions 1467 to 2925 of the family's 2925-position model. Lineage: Bacteria; Bacillati; Bacillota; Bacilli; Caryophanales; Staphylococcaceae. The record is from RNAcentral.
GGGGGACGCAGUAGGAUAGGCGAAGCGUGCUGUUGGAGUGCACGUCCAAGCAGUAAGGCUGAGUGUUAGGCAAAUCCGGCACUCGUUAGGCUGAGCUGUGAUGGGGAGAGGAAAUUGUUUCCUCGAGUCGUUGAUUUCACACUGCCGAGAAAAGCCUCUAGAUAGAUAACAGGUGCCCGUACCGCAAACCGACACAGGUAGUCAAGAUGAGAAUUCUAAGGUGAGCGAGCGAACUCUCGUUAAGGAACUCGGCAAAAUGACCCCGUAACUUCGGGAGAAGGGGUGCUCUUUAGGGUUCACGCCCAGAAGAGCCGCAGUGAAUAGGCCCAAGCGACUGUUUAUCAAAAACACAGGUCUCUGCUAAACCGUAAGGUGAUGUAUAGGGGCUGACGCCUGCCCGGUGCUGGAAGGUUAAGAGGAGUGGUUAGCUUCUGCGAAGCCACGAAUCGAAGCCCCAGUAAACGGCGGCCGUAACUAUAACGGUCCUAAGGUAGCGAAAUUCCUUGUCGGGUAAGUUCCGACCCGCACGAAAGGCGUAACGAUUUGGGCACUGUCUCAACGAGAGACUCGGUGAAAUCAUAGUACCUGUGAAGAUGCAGGUUACCCGCGACAGGACGGAAAGACCCCGUGGAGCUUUACUGUAGCCUGAUAUUGAAAUUCGGCACAGCUUGUACAGGAUAGGUAGGAGCCAUUGAAACGUGAGCGCUAGCUUACGUGGAGGCGUUGGUGGGAUACUACCCUAGCUGUGUUGGCUUUCUAACCCGCACCACUUAUCGUGGUGGGAGACAGUGUCAGGCGGGCAGUUUGACUGGGGCGGUCGCCUCCUAAAAGGUAACGGAGGCGCUCAAAGGUUCCCUCAGAAUGGUUGGAAAUCAUUCACAGAGUGUAAAGGCAUAAGGGAGCUUGACUGCGAGACCUACAAGUCGAGCAGGGUCGAAAGACGGACUUAGUGAUCCGGUGGUUCCGCAUGGAAGGGCCAUCGCUCAACGGAUAAAAGCUACCCCGGGGAUAACAGGCUUAUCUCCCCCAAGAGUUCACAUCGACGGGGAGGUUUGGCACCUCGAUGUCGGCUCAUCGCAUCCUGGGGCUGUAGUCGGUCCCAAGGGUUGGGCUGUUCGCCCAUUAAAGCGGUACGCGAGCUGGGUUCAGAACGUCGUGAGACAGUUCGGUCCCUAUCCGUCGUGGGCGUAGGAAAUUUGAGAGGAGCUGUCCUUAGUACGAGAGGACCGGGAUGGACAUACCUCUGGUGUACCAGUUGUCGUGCCAACGGCAUAGCUGGGUAGCUAUGUAUGGACGGGAUAAGUGCUGAAAGCAUCUAAGCAUGAAGCCCCCCUCAAGAUGAGAUUUCCCAACUUCGGUUAUAAGAUCCCUCGAAGAUGACGAGGUUAAUAGGUUCGAGGUGGAAGCGUGGUGACACGUGGAGCUGACGAAUACUAAUCGAUCGAAGACUUAAUC